This 207-nucleotide ribosomal RNA is filed under the name uncultured Pseudomonadota bacterium. Its description in RNAcentral is "uncultured proteobacterium partial 16S ribosomal RNA". It matches the Rfam family "Bacterial small subunit ribosomal RNA", at positions 568 to 774 of the family's 1533-position model. The record is from RNAcentral. Lineage: Bacteria; Pseudomonadati; Pseudomonadota.
CGCGCAGGCGGUUGUGCAAGUCAGUUGUGAAAUCCCCCGGCUUAACCGGGAAACUGCAUCUGAAACUGCAUGACUAGAGUACAGAAGAGGGAAACGGAAUUCCCGGUGUAGAGGUGAAAUUCGUAGAUAUCGGGAGGAACACCAGUGGCGAAGGCGGUUUCCUGGUCUGAUACUGACGCUGAGGCGCGAAAGCGUGGGGAGCAAACA